CGUAGGGAGCAAGCGUUGUUCGGAUUUACUGGGCGUAAAGGGCGCGUAGGCGGCGUGUCAAGUCAAUUGUGAAAUCUCCGGGCUUAACUCGGAACGGUCAAUUGAUACUGUCAUGCUAGAGUGCAGAAAGGGCAAUCGGAAUUCUUGGUGUAGCGGUGAAAUGCGUAGAUAUCAAGAGGAACACCUGAGGCGAAGGCGGGUUGCUAGGCUGACACUGACGCUGAGUGCGCGAAAGCCAGGGGAGCAAACGGGAUUAGAUACCCCGGUAGUCCUGGCCCUAAACGAUGAAUACUUGGUGUCUGGAGUUAUUAUCGCUCCGGGUGCCGUCGCUAACGUUUUAAGUAUUCCGCCUGGGGAGUACGCACGCAAGUGUG
This 374-nucleotide ribosomal RNA is filed under the name uncultured organism. RNAcentral's name for it is "bacterial SSU rRNA". It matches the Rfam family "Bacterial small subunit ribosomal RNA", at positions 526 to 896 of the family's 1533-position model. The record is from RNAcentral.